This 497-nucleotide ribosomal RNA is filed under the name uncultured bacterium. Its description in RNAcentral is "partial 16S ribosomal RNA". It matches the Rfam family "Bacterial small subunit ribosomal RNA", at positions 28 to 507 of the family's 1533-position model. The record is from RNAcentral.
GAUGAACGCUGGCGGCGUGCCUAAUACAUGCAAGUCGAGCGAACAGACGAGGAGCUUGCUUCUCUGACGUUAGCGGCGGACGGGUGAGUAACACGUGGAUAACCUACCUAUAAGACUGGGAUAACUUCGGGAAACCGGAGCUAAUACCGGAUAAUAUAUUGAACCGCAUGGUUCAAUAGUGAAAGACGGCUUUGCUGUCACUUAUAGAUGGAUCCGCGCCGCAUUAGCUAGUUGGUAAGGUAACGGCUUACCAAGGCAACGAUGCGUAGCCGACCUGAGAGGGUGGUCGGCCACACUGGAAGUGAGACACGGUCCAUGCGCCUACGGGAGGCAGCAGUAGGGAAUCGUCCGCAAUGGGCGAAAGCUUGACGGAGCAACGCCGCGUGAGUGAUGAAGGUCUUCGGAUCGUAAAACUCUGUUAUUAGGGAAAAACAAAUGUGUAAGUAACUAUGCACGUCUUGACGGUACCUAAACAGAAAGCCACGGCUAACUACGUG